RNAcentral lists this long non-coding RNA (209 nucleotides) under Elaeis guineensis (African oil palm). Its description in RNAcentral is "long non-coding RNA (EGUI_LNC064037)". Lineage: Eukaryota; Viridiplantae; Streptophyta; Magnoliopsida; Arecales; Arecaceae. The record is from RNAcentral.
UCCUAUCUUUCUCUAGGGAUAUGCACUACUUUCUGUAAUUCAUCUUUUGAAUCGGAUUCCCUUUAAAUCCGUUCAUACCACUCCAUAUGAGUUAUGGUAUGGUAGGAAGCUAACUAUUGGGUACCUUAAGAUUUGGAGAUGUUCGGCCCAUGUCAAGUGACAACUCACUGUGCUUUAGUACUGGACUAACUAAAUUUCUAAUUCAGGGA